UGGGGAAUCUUGCGCAAUGCGCGAAAGCGUGACGCAGCAACGCCGCGUGGGGGAAGAAGGCCUUCGGGUUGUAAACCCCUUUCAGUUGGGACGAAGCUUCGCCGGUGAAUAGCCGGCUGGAGUGACGGUACCUUCAGAAGAAGCCCCGGCUAACUACGUGCCAGCAGCCGCGGUAAUACGUAGGGGGCAAGCGUUGUCCGGAAUCAUUGGGCGUAAAGAGCGUGUAGGCGGCUCGGUAAGUCCGCUCUGAAAGCCCGGGGCUCAACCCCGGGAGGCGGGCGGAUACUGUCGGGCUAGAGUCCGGAAGAGGCGAGUGGAAUUCCUGGUGUAGCGGUGAAAUGCGCAGAUAUCAGGAGGAACACCAAUGGCGAAGGCAGCUCGCUGGGACGGUACUGACGCUGAGACGCGAAAGCGUGGGGAGCAAACA
Molecule: ribosomal RNA, 427 nt
Filed under: uncultured Conexibacter sp.
Lineage: Bacteria; Bacillati; Actinomycetota; Thermoleophilia; Solirubrobacterales; Conexibacteraceae
Description: bacterial SSU rRNA
Rfam family: Bacterial small subunit ribosomal RNA
Source: RNAcentral